AGAGAGAGAGAGAGAGAGAGAGAGAGAGAGAGAGAGAGAGAGAAGUAAAAGAAAAGAAAAAAGAAAGAAGGAAAGAAACGAAGUAAAAAUUGUCGUUCCGACGUUUUCAGACUUUCCGGGAUCUUUUUAUAAUAACUUAUCGCGAAGAUGGCAGUCCAUCAAAUUUUCAUUUUUUAAGCCCGAUUAUUCGUGAAAAAUCUCUGGCUCUCUUCUGGCAGUCUGUCGAAUAAGGCGCUUCUUAUAUUUUAUAAUGGACGACAGAGUCUUUCCUUAAUCUUUUUUUUUUCUCGUUUAGCGAGAGUUUUAUGAUCUUUACUUAACGCGAUCUAUGCGAAACCAAGCAUCGAGAAUAAAUUAUUAUUGUUGUUAGCGGCGAGCAACAACGACGAUUCGAUUAUUUAAACUAAGAAAAAAAAAAGAGAAAGAAUAUUAAAAAACGCGUUGCUUUAAAAAUACAUCGAUAUUCUUUAAAGUUAGCUUGAUCGUAAUUCAUUAAUGAUUUUUUUAUCACUAUUUGCACGUACGUAUAUGUACGCAAACAAAUAUACUUUUCUACGAAUGUAUUUGAGAGACUGUUCAGAAAUAAUAUUAAAGAAAAAAAAAAAAAAAAAAUUAAUUCUGAUCUUAGAAAAAGUAAAAAGAAAUUAAACAAUGUAUGUACCAAUACGACGAAUGAGAAUUUUGUCACAUUUUACGGGUACAACCCGUCGAAAGAUAAAGUAAAAAGAAGAUUUGAAAAAAGAAAAAAAAA
Molecule: long non-coding RNA, 751 nt
Organism: Apis florea (little honeybee)
Lineage: Eukaryota; Metazoa; Arthropoda; Insecta; Hymenoptera; Apidae
Source: RefSeq, a predicted model, not a curated record